UUACGACCACAUCACGUUGAAACACCGUUUCCUUUAAGAACACCGAAGCUAAGCAAUGUCGAUCUUGGUCAGUACCUAGAUGGGUAACCUCUUGGGAAUACCAGGUGCUGG
This is a non-coding RNA of Acanthosepion pharaonis, 111 nucleotides long. The record is from the annotation of a GenBank genome assembly. Lineage: Eukaryota; Metazoa; Mollusca; Cephalopoda; Sepiida; Sepiidae.